This 380-nucleotide long non-coding RNA is filed under the name Pelobates cultripes (western spadefoot toad). The record is from RNAcentral. Lineage: Eukaryota; Metazoa; Chordata; Amphibia; Anura; Pelobatidae.
ACAGAGUAUCUGCGAAUAUCGAUAGUAGGCUAAUCUGUAGCUCGAAAGUUGAGCGGGGAAAGGAUUGCCCAAUUUAUGCCAUGUAAGUGCCAGUGUGUAGGGUAGAUGGUAGCCGUUUACUGCGUUGAUGAUAUUGGUCUUACUUAAUCAAGCUUCAACCCAUGCUUGAGUGAUAGCUGUAAAGGUAGAUCAAUGGUGUUGUAUAGUAAGAAAAAUCCUCGGAGGGUUUGAUGGAGUUGAGACUUGGGGUAGCGGAGGUGUGUGUUACCAAUAAGUCCAUGGUUAGUCUUUGUUUAAGGGAAGAUUCCUUGUGACAAUACCAAUGUGUGUGUUUGGUGCCAUGCUGUAAAUGGUGGAGAUUGGAAGACCCCUCUGCAAAU